ACGCAAAGAGAAAAACUAAAUGAACGUGGAACCAUGCGGUGGUUUUGCAUCCUGGCACUGUUCUCCCUGUCAGUUCUUCAGACUGAGGCCUCAGGGCACGGUGAGAAACCUGGCCACACGCAGCCUCCCCGAGAGGUGCAAGAACCCUUUGCCAACUCCACGUGGCGGGAAAGCGAGACCAGAACCACGUGGGCAUCAGAGGCCGCCAGCAGCGCCAGGGAGAGGGUCANCACGACCACCCCCAGCCCCCUACAGAACAGCAGCAGCACGCAGGCCGGUCCUCCUGCGCUUGGCGAAGACGUCUCCGCAGCGGUUUAUGCAAAAUAUCUGGUGCCUCCUCUGAUAGUGCUCGUGCUGCUCCUAAGCCUGCUCUUUAUGUACAGACGGAAGAGAGGACGAGAAGACCACAGCAGCACUGCCUCCAUCAACGGCUCUUCAGACUCCGAGGACGACUCCCCAGCGAUGGAGCAGGAAGGGCAGCACCAGGGCGCCCCCCAGAUGGAUUCCUAGACCCGACGCCUGCCCUUAGCAAGCUGUUCUCUUCGCUGGACCACUAGCCAAAUCAGCUCUGCAGAGAGCCAGAGGUAGCACCCACCAUUCUUCACCCCUCCGUGUUUAACUCACACAACCCUGUUGAGUAGGUGCCUUCCAAGACAUCCAGAAAGCGUUCACAGCCAAGGUGGGAUUUGAACCCAGCUGCAUCGCCACUUGGACGGAUCUCUCUUACACUGAAGUAAACGUGGGCCUUCUGGUCCACAAAGACUCACACACACGUAAGCUCCAAGCGUCCACAAUGCCCCUAGCUGCUUCCUAGGAAACAAGGGUGCCUGCGAAGUCUCCACGCAAAAGAGGGUUCCUAAUUUAACCCUGGUGCAAAUCUGUCCCUGUUCCUGUGCAGGGGUGGCUNGGAAGGGCUGUUCAGGCAACCCAGCCACACCCCUGAGGUACAGAAAGUGCUGGACUCUGCAGCCCUGCAGCCCCAGAGCUGUCAAAGGAGAAAGAGGCACCCUGGAUCCUCCCAAGGCCAAGUAGGAAGCAGCCGUCCUGCGUCAGGCGCAUUUACCAAGGCAGAGGACCAGGGCUCCUUUGCAAAAUUCUGGGUAUUUUCUAAUUAUAUGCAAGGAACUGCAUUCCAACUGUUCAAAAACACAAGUGGUGAAAAAAAGAAUAAAUUCUGUCUACUGGUAACCUGUUCA
This 1196-nucleotide long non-coding RNA is filed under the name Salvator merianae (Argentine black and white tegu). RNAcentral's name for it is "lncRNA (ENSSMRG00000017542.1)". Lineage: Eukaryota; Metazoa; Chordata; Lepidosauria; Squamata; Teiidae. The record is from RNAcentral.